This is a non-coding RNA of Mycena vitilis, 84 nucleotides long. Lineage: Eukaryota; Fungi; Basidiomycota; Agaricomycetes; Agaricales; Mycenaceae. The record is from the annotation of a GenBank genome assembly.
UCCACUUUGGUUUAGUGGUUAAAGCGCCCACAGUUUGAUUGGUUAGACUCGGGAGAUCGUGGGUUCGAUUCCCGCGAAGUGGCA